This 245-nucleotide ribosomal RNA is filed under the name uncultured Oscillospiraceae bacterium. RNAcentral's name for it is "partial 16S ribosomal RNA". It matches the Rfam family "Bacterial small subunit ribosomal RNA", at positions 524 to 768 of the family's 1533-position model. The record is from RNAcentral. Lineage: Bacteria; Bacillati; Bacillota; Clostridia; Eubacteriales; Oscillospiraceae.
UACGUAGGUGGCGAGCGUUAUCCGGAAUUACUGGGUGUAAAGGGUGUGUAGGCGGGACAGCAAGUCAGGCGUGAAAACUAUGGGCUUAACUCAUAGCCUGCGUUUGAAACUGUUGUUCUUGAGAGUCGGAGAGGUAAAUGGAAUUCCCAGUGUAGCGGUGAAAUGCGUAGAUAUUGGGAGGAACACCAGUGGCGAAGGCGAUUUACUGGACGACAACUGACGCUGAUACACGAAAGCGUGGGGAG